GGCGGCGUAGCUCAGCGGUUAGAGCAGUGGCUUCAUAAGCCAUGUGUCGGUGGUUCGAUCCCACCCGCCGCUA
Molecule: transfer RNA, 73 nt
Filed under: Gemmatales bacterium
Lineage: Bacteria; Pseudomonadati; Planctomycetota; Planctomycetia; Gemmatales
Description: tRNA-Met
Rfam family: tRNA
About the family: Transfer RNA (tRNA) molecules are approximately 80 nucleotides in length. Their secondary structure includes four short double-helical elements and three loops (D, anti-codon, and T loops). Further hydrogen bonds mediate the characteristic L-shaped molecular structure. tRNAs have two regions of fundamental functional importance: the anti-codon, which is responsible for specific mRNA codon recognition, and the 3' end, to which the tRNAs corresponding amino acid is attached (by aminoacyl-tRNA synthetases). tRNAs cope with the degeneracy of the genetic code in two manners: having more than one tRNA (with a specific anti-codon) for a particular amino acid; and 'wobble' base-pairing, i.e. permitting non-standard base-pairing at the 3rd anti-codon position.
Source: RNAcentral